Neopsephotus bourkii (Bourke's parrot) is the source of this 442-nucleotide long non-coding RNA. RefSeq lists it as uncharacterized. NCBI's taxonomy places the organism in Eukaryota, Metazoa, Chordata, Aves, Psittaciformes, Psittacidae. The transcript has 3 exons. The record is from RefSeq and is a predicted model, not a curated record.
UUUAAUAGAAGCUGGCUAGUGGUUUGGUGAUACAGGUAUUGGUGGGGAGGUAAUACUGUGCCUAUAGGUUUCAUUAAAAUGCCAGUGAAUUUGAGGGACAUCUCCUUUUCAAGUCAUUUUUGCCAGCAUUUGUCAUGAUGGUGAGUGAUAGAGAGCAUUUCUGCUAUUGAUGUUGAGAAAAGAAGUGGACCAAGGAAGCGUUUUGAGAUUAUCACUGCACAGAUUUUUAGCCAGAGAAAUCGACUGUGGCUAUAUUUAUCUAACCCUCUGAGAAGGAAUUUACUCCAAAGUUAUCCAUUCUGUCUUAAUGAGGGUACACGUGUGAGUGAAAAACUCAAGAAAUCAACAUUUAAAUCCACUGACAAAGCUUCCAUGAAAAUGGUUAUUCAGCUGAGUGCCAGUCUUCAUUCUUGAGACAGCUGCCCAGGCUUGCAAAGCCAUG